CUACGGGUCGCAGCAGUGGGGAAUCUUAGACAAUGGGCGCAAGCCUGAUCUAGCCAUGCCGCGUGAGUGACGAAGGCCUUAGGGUCGUAAAGCUCUUUCGCUGGGGAAGAUAAUGACGGUACCCAGUAAAGAAACCCCGGCUAACUCCGUGCCAGCAGCCGCGGUAAUACGGAGGGGGUUAGCGUUGUUCGGAAUUACUGGGCGGAAAGCGCGCGUAGGCGGAUCAGAAAGUUGGGGGUGAAAUCCCGGGGCUCAACCCCGGAACUGCCUUCAAAACUCCUGGUCUUGAGUUCGAGAGAGGUGAGUGGAAUUCCGAGUGUAGAGGUGAGAUUCGUAGAUAUUCGGAGGAACACCAGUGGCGAAGGCGGCUCACUGGCUCGAUACUGACGCUGAGGUGCGAAAGCGUGGGGAGCAAACAGGAUUAGAUACCCCCGUAGUC
RNAcentral lists this ribosomal RNA (439 nucleotides) under uncultured bacterium. Its description in RNAcentral is "partial 16S ribosomal RNA". It matches the Rfam family "Bacterial small subunit ribosomal RNA", at positions 339 to 795 of the family's 1533-position model. The record is from RNAcentral.